Lycium barbarum (goji berry) is the source of this 747-nucleotide long non-coding RNA. RefSeq lists it as uncharacterized. The transcript is spliced from 3 exons. NCBI's taxonomy places the organism in Eukaryota, Viridiplantae, Streptophyta, Magnoliopsida, Solanales, Solanaceae. The record is from RefSeq and is a predicted model, not a curated record.
UCAGGUGACGUCGGUACAAGGAGAUAUGGACGUUUUAAGGUCGAAAGGUCAGUGGGCUAGGCCCAACUCGGGAUCAACCGAGUUGGCCCAAAAAAAUAAAAAACGAAUUUAGGCCCAAAAGUGAGGGUGGCCGGCCAUACCUGGCCCAACCCAUGUCACUUAAUUAAUUUUUCAUGUGAUAAAUAAGACUAGAAGGGAUCAUUAGUCUUAGAAACUUCAAGAAAAUUUGAGAAAGAGAAAAACAACAAAAAGAAGAACAAAAGCUUAAAGGCCAUACGGCCAUAGCUUGCAAAUUUUUGCCCUUUGAAAUCUUUCUCCAAAAAUUAUUUUCUUGUGGUAUUUCUACUAAUUCAAGGGUCCUUUACAACUUGGUGUAAUUAUUUUGGAAGAAAGAGCACUUGUUUCUUCAAGUUGACAACUUGGUCAAGUGAAAAAGAUUGUAGAAAAAGAUUUUGGCGAACUUGAAACUUGAUUUUGGAGACGUGUAUGAAGCGGAAAAGGUCAGCAGACAGGUGGACGUGAUCCUUAGAAGCUCUACCAGCCGCACUUGACAGCGCUCCAGUUGUUCCGGAGCCUCACUCCAGCGGUACUAUUUUAUGCAUAUACAUUCGGGCUUGGUAGCACCCCGGCCCUUUCUAUGUAUAAGUGUACUAUGUCUAGAGGCUCGUAGACAGAUACGUACAGUCAGUCAGGUACAGAUAUAUGUAUAGUGUUUUGGCAUGUUAAUAUUGUUGUACAAGGUAAUAA